Molecule: transfer RNA, 72 nt
Filed under: bacterium
Lineage: Bacteria
Description: tRNA-Ile
Rfam family: tRNA
About the family: Transfer RNA (tRNA) molecules are approximately 80 nucleotides in length. Their secondary structure includes four short double-helical elements and three loops (D, anti-codon, and T loops).
Source: RNAcentral
GGGUCUGUAGCUCAGUGGUAGAGCGCGACUCUUAUAAAGUCGAUGUCGAUGGUUCGAUCCCAUCCAGACCCA